GGGUCGUUAGCUCAGCUGGUAGAGCAGUUGGCUUUUAACCAAUUGGUCGAGCGUUCGAAUCGCUCACGACCCACCA
RNAcentral lists this transfer RNA (76 nucleotides) under Thiomicrospira sp. RNAcentral describes it as "tRNA-Lys". It matches the Rfam family "tRNA". From Rfam's summary of the family: Transfer RNA (tRNA) molecules are approximately 80 nucleotides in length. Their secondary structure includes four short double-helical elements and three loops (D, anti-codon, and T loops). Further hydrogen bonds mediate the characteristic L-shaped molecular structure. tRNAs have two regions of fundamental functional importance: the anti-codon, which is responsible for specific mRNA codon recognition, and the 3' end, to which the tRNAs corresponding amino acid is attached (by aminoacyl-tRNA synthetases). tRNAs cope with the degeneracy of the genetic code in two manners: having more than one tRNA (with a specific anti-codon) for a particular amino acid; and 'wobble' base-pairing, i.e. permitting non-standard base-pairing at the 3rd anti-codon position. The record is from RNAcentral. RNAcentral also lists the same sequence under 2 other names. Lineage: Bacteria; Pseudomonadati; Pseudomonadota; Gammaproteobacteria; Thiotrichales; Piscirickettsiaceae.